GAUGAACGCUGACAGAAUGCUUAACACAUGCAAGUCAACUUGAAUUUGGGUUUUUAACUUAGGUUUGGGUGGCGGACGGGUGAGUAACGCGUAAAGAACUUGCCUCACAGCUAGGGACAACAUUUGGAAACGAAUGCUAAUACCUAAUAUUAUGAUAAUAGGUCAUCCUAUAAUUAUGAAAGCUAUAAGCGCUGUGAGAGAGCUUUGCGUCCCAUUAGCUAGUUGGAGAGGUAACGGCUCACCAAGGCGAUGAUGGGUAGCCGGCCUGAGAGGGUGAUCGGCCACAAGGGGACUGAGACACGGCCCUUACUCCUACGGGAGGCAGCAGUGGGGAAUAUUGGACAAUGGACCGAGAGUCUGAUCCAGCAAUUCUGUGUGCACGAUGAAGUUUUUCGGAAUGUAAAGUGCUUUCAGUUGGGAAGAAACAAAUGACGGUACCAACAGAAGAAGUGACGGCUAAAUACGUG
This 467-nucleotide ribosomal RNA is filed under the name uncultured bacterium. RNAcentral describes it as "partial 16S ribosomal RNA". It matches the Rfam family "Bacterial small subunit ribosomal RNA", at positions 28 to 507 of the family's 1533-position model. The record is from RNAcentral.